AUUCUAUUUUCUUAUUUAUGUGAUUUUCAAAAAAUAAUUAAAAAAUUUAAUAAGAAAAUAAAAUAAGUGUUAUUAAUGACAAUCAUUAUAAUAUAAUACUUUUAGGGUGGUGUAUUCAACUAAAAGUUUCAAGUGGUUUGUAUUAAAAUGACAAAUAUGUUGUUAUUCAAACAUGAAUUUUAAAAAACACUUUAAAAUCCAAUGUUAUUGAACUUUUCAUUUCAUAAAACGCUCUGAAAUCCACUGUUAUUGAACAAAAUUUAAGUCGGAGAUUUUAGAGUACUUUAAUUGUUUCUAAAGUGUUUGAGGAAAGUUCUUUAGUUAUAAAAAUAAAAAU
This 337-nucleotide long non-coding RNA is filed under the name Brassica napus (rape). RNAcentral describes it as "long non-coding RNA (BNAP_LNC017750)". The record is from RNAcentral. Lineage: Eukaryota; Viridiplantae; Streptophyta; Magnoliopsida; Brassicales; Brassicaceae.